RNAcentral lists this ribosomal RNA (253 nucleotides) under uncultured bacterium. Its description in RNAcentral is "partial 16S ribosomal RNA". It matches the Rfam family "Bacterial small subunit ribosomal RNA", at positions 524 to 776 of the family's 1533-position model. The record is from RNAcentral.
UACGUAGGCAGCGAGCGUUGUUCGGAGUUACUGGGCGUAAAGGGUGUGUAGGCGGUCCUCUAAGUUUGGGGUGAAAUCUCCCGGCUCAACCGGGAGGGUGCGCCGAAAACUGGAGGGCUAGAGUGCGGGAAGGGAGAGUGGAAUUCCUGGUGUAGCGGUGAAAUGCGUAGAUAUCAGGAGGAACACCGGUGGUGUAGACGGCUCUCUGGACCGUAACUGACGCUGAGACACGAAAGCGUGGGUAGCAAACAGG